UACGGAGGGUGCAAGCGUUAAUCGGAAUUACUGGGCGUAAAGAGUGCGUAGGUGGUUGGAUAAGUUAUCUGUGAAAUCCCUGGGCUUAACCUGGGCAGGUCAGAUAAUACUGUUUAACUCGAGUAUGGGAGAGGGUAGUGGAAUUUCCGGUGUAGCGGUGAAAUGCGUAGAGAUCGGAAGGAACACCAGUGGCGAAGGCGGCUACCUGGCCUAAUACUGACACUGAGGCACGAAAGCGUGGGGAGCAAACAGG
This 253-nucleotide ribosomal RNA is filed under the name uncultured bacterium. RNAcentral describes it as "partial 16S ribosomal RNA". It matches the Rfam family "Bacterial small subunit ribosomal RNA", at positions 524 to 776 of the family's 1533-position model. The record is from RNAcentral. RNAcentral also lists the same sequence under 1 other name.